GCCUCAUUCCUUGGGGCCAAUAUGGUAUUUCUCCAACCACUUGCUUCCUGAUGCAGGGAAUGAUAUUGAAUAACAGCAUUUUUUUUUCCUUCCUCUCUUUCUUUCAUUUUCCUGAGAAACAAACACUCUUUGCAGAAUUCAUAUGCAAUACUUUAAUUUUUUUUUUUAAUUUAUAAUAUUUUGUUUAUUUAAAAAAAAAAU
RNAcentral lists this unclassified non-coding RNA (201 nucleotides) under Hevea brasiliensis (rubber tree). Lineage: Eukaryota; Viridiplantae; Streptophyta; Magnoliopsida; Malpighiales; Euphorbiaceae. The record is from RNAcentral.